CCCUUUAGUUAGGGGUAUCUCCCUUUAGUUAUUAUUAUAUCCCUUUAGUUAGAGGUAUCUCCCUUUAGUUAGGGGGUAUCUCCCUUUAGUUAUUAGUAUAUCCCUUUAGUUAGAGGUAUCUCCCUUUAGUUAGGGGUAUCUCCCUUUAGUUAGGGGUAUCUCCCUUUAGUUAUUAGUAUAUCCCUUUAGUUAGAGGUAUCUCCCUUUAGUUAGGGGUAUCUCCCUUUAGUUAUUAUUAUAUCCCUUUAGUUAGAGGUAUCUCCCUUUAGUUAGGAGUAUCUCCCUUUAGUUAGGCAUAUCUCCCUUUAGUUAGGGGUAUCUCCCUUUAGUUAGGAGUAUCUCCCUUUAGUUAGGCAUAUCUCCCUUUAGUUAGGCGUACCCCUCUUUAGUUAGAGGUAUCUCCCUUUAUUAAACAAUGUGCUUUUCAAAUAGAGGUUUUUCCUGGCUGUCCUAAACCAAACUCACUAGCAAUAUGCUUAGUUAUCAGUCACAUCAGCAUCAGAUAACUAGAUUUACUGCAAUAACCACAUGCAACUAAUAUAGUACUUUCACUAUAAUAGUCAUUGUGACAGCUAUUAUUAAACUGCAAAAAUGAUAUGUAUGCAACUGAAAAUAUAUUGAAUAUGGACAAAGUGAUCUCACAUUUCCUAUUAUGAGAUUAUUAUCAAUGCAAUGUAAUAUUAUUCAGCUUGCUUGUAGAUGCUUUUACAUAUGUUCAGCUUCAAAUCUAUUAGCAGGUAAUAUAGCUUCUUUUGAUAGAAAUAAUUGUUUAAAAUUAGAACAAUGAUCUGCCAGUAGAACAAAGACUAUGUUAAGCUUGAACUGAGUAAAAAUGUCUAGAUCUAUUUAAUAAACACACACACACACACACUCACACACACACACACACACA
Long non-coding RNA from Ictalurus punctatus (channel catfish), 892 nucleotides. The record is from Ensembl. NCBI's taxonomy places the organism in Eukaryota, Metazoa, Chordata, Actinopteri, Siluriformes, Ictaluridae.